RNAcentral lists this ribosomal RNA (253 nucleotides) under uncultured bacterium. Its description in RNAcentral is "partial 16S ribosomal RNA". It matches the Rfam family "Bacterial small subunit ribosomal RNA", at positions 524 to 776 of the family's 1533-position model. The record is from RNAcentral.
UACGGGGGGGGCAAGCGUUGUUCGGAAUUACUGGGCGUAAAGGGUUCGUAGGUGGCCCGCUAAGUCAGACGUGAAAUCCCUCAGCUCAACUGGGGAACUGCGUCUGAGACUGGCAGGCUUGAGUGCAGGAGAGGAACGCGGAAUUCCAGGUGUAGCGGUGAAAUGCGUAGAUAUCUGGAGGAACACCGGUGGCGAAGGCGGCGUUCUGGACUGUUACUGACACUGAGGAACGAAAGCCAGGGGAGCAAACGGG